GUUAUGCUCUACAAGUAGCCGUAGACAGUAGGUGCCGUAAGGCUUAAAUUUUAGCCUACCGAGGUUGUUAGGGAGUUCAAGGAUGUUGAUCCUGGCCCUCUGCAGUCUGCGGAGGGCCUUAUUUUUUUGUAA
This 132-nucleotide small RNA is filed under the name Syntrophaceticus schinkii. Its description in RNAcentral is "L10_leader". It matches the Rfam family "Ribosomal protein L10 leader". From Rfam's summary of the family: This family is a putative r-protein leader autoregulatory structure found in B. subtilis and other low-GC Gram-positive bacteria. It is located in the 5' untranslated regions of mRNAs encoding ribosomal proteins L10 and L12 (rplJ-rplL). A Rho-independent transcription terminator structure that is probably involved in regulation is included at the 3' end. Lineage: Bacteria; Bacillati; Bacillota; Clostridia; Thermoanaerobacterales; Thermoanaerobacterales Family III. Incertae Sedis. The record is from RNAcentral.